AAGACUAACAAUUAAAGCAGCUAAUGUAGCCAUACCUUCUUCGUUGAUUUAUCAAGACAUCAAUGGACAGCUUUUGUUCACCUUCUAUGUACAAGUUGGUGAUGCCUUCCUAUCAAAAGAAUAUCUUAAGCCAGCAGUACAGCAAGCUGAAGAACUCUAUCGAGAUGCUGGGUUGCUCCAAGCGCUGCCUCUCCUCACAACACAACCCCCUUUAUCUUCAGAUCCUGUCACCACACCUAGAUCUACAACCUUGAUCAAGACGAUUUUAGAAGAUACUCAAAUAAUCGCCAUAGCAGCUGGAGCUGGUGGACCAGCGCUCGUAAUCAUGACAGUACUACUCAGUCUCUUAUGCUACUGCAAGUAUAAAUAUCGAAACCAAAGAAAAGGGCAACAUCAAGUCAACCUGAUUGAAGUAACAGAUCGUGUUAAUGUAGAGUUGAAAAAGGUGAACAUAAUUGUGAAGAAAUUGCAGAGGUUACAUUAUCUCUGGUCAAAUUGAUGUGAACAUUAAU
This is a long non-coding RNA of Halichondria panicea, 512 nucleotides long. RefSeq lists it as uncharacterized. The transcript has 3 exons. The record is from RefSeq and is a predicted model, not a curated record. NCBI's taxonomy places the organism in Eukaryota, Metazoa, Porifera, Demospongiae, Suberitida, Halichondriidae.